CAGUCGCCACGGUAAAACGAAGGGGGCUAGCGUUGUUCGGAAUUACUGGGCGUAAAGGGCGCGUAGGCGGCCAUUCAAGUUAGAUGUGAAAGCCCUGGGCUCAACCUAGGAAUUGCAUUUGAUACUGUUUGGCUUGAGUUCGGGAGAGGUGAGUGGAAUUCCCAGUGUAGAGGUGAAAUGCGUAGAGAUCGGAAGGAACACCAGUGGCGAAGGCGGCUACCUGGACAAAUACUGACGCUGAGGCGCGAAAGCGUGGGGAGCAAACAGGAUUAGAUACCCCCGUAGUCCCUGUCUCUUAUAC
RNAcentral lists this ribosomal RNA (301 nucleotides) under uncultured bacterium. RNAcentral's name for it is "partial 16S ribosomal RNA". It matches the Rfam family "Bacterial small subunit ribosomal RNA", at positions 509 to 807 of the family's 1533-position model. The record is from RNAcentral.